This 774-nucleotide ribosomal RNA is filed under the name uncultured Neocallimastigales. RNAcentral's name for it is "partial large subunit ribosomal RNA". It matches the Rfam family "Eukaryotic large subunit ribosomal RNA", at positions 22 to 621 of the family's 3401-position model. Lineage: Eukaryota; Fungi; Neocallimastigomycota; Neocallimastigomycetes; Neocallimastigales. The record is from RNAcentral.
AUAUCAGUCAUGCAUAGCAUAUCAAUAAGCGGAGGAAAAGAAACUAACAAGGAUUCCCUUAGUAACGGCGAGUGAAGCGGGAAGAGCUCAAAUUUGAAAUCUUCAAGGUUUUACCUUGACGAAUUGUAGUUUAAAGAAGUGUUUUCUGUUGAAGUUUUGGUAAAAGUUCUUUGGAAUAGGACAUCAUAGAGGGUGAGAAUCCCGUAUUUGACCAUUACUUUCAGCUUUGUGAUACACUUUCAAAGAGUCGGAUUGUUUGGGAAUGCAGUCCAAAAUGGGUGGUGAAUUUCAUCUAAAGCUAAAUAUUGGCGAGAGACCGAUAGCGAACAAGUACCGUGAGGGAAAGAUGAAAAGAACUUUGAAAAGAGAGUUAAACAGUACGUGAAAUUGUCAAAAGGGAAGCGUUUGACACCAGUGUUGUUUUCUCGAAAAUCAAUUAAAAAGAGUUGGAUUUUGUGUUGUAUUGACUUUAUCAGCUUUCUUCACUCUUUUCCAGCUUUUUUUAAUGCACUUUUCGUUUAACAAGUCAACAUCAGUUUCUUUUGUUGUAAAAAGGUCAUUGGAAGGUGGCUUUCUCUUCGGAGAAAGUGUUUAUAGCCUUUGACUCAUGCAAUCGGAGAGACUGAGGUCUGCAGCGUAGAUCCUUCGGGGUUAGAUACAUUUGUGCUAAGUUAUAGCUUUUCAUAGACAACUUGUUGACUAUGUUUAGUCUUGUAGCUUACUCGCUUAUGCUAUUUUACCUACGCUUAGGAUGUUGAACUCUAUCACACACAG